This 1119-nucleotide ribosomal RNA is filed under the name Triticum aestivum (bread wheat). RNAcentral describes it as "partial small subunit ribosomal RNA". The record is from RNAcentral. Lineage: Eukaryota; Viridiplantae; Streptophyta; Magnoliopsida; Poales; Poaceae.
AUGCGGUCGCGCUUCAGGGAGGCUUUGGCGAGCGGGCAGGAGGUAAUUAAUAGUGUCACGGUCGCGCAGGUGAUGGCGGCGUGCGCGCAGUGCGGCGACAUGGAGAGCGGGAGGUGGGUGCACGACACGCUCCGGCGCUGGCGCGUCGAGCCCGUAUUGCUCGAUGUUGCUCUUGCCACGGCGGUACUCCAUAUGUAUGCCGCAUGUGGUGGUCUCAGUGUUGCAGUUCAAGUGUUCGAUGCAAUUCCUCAAAGAAACGAGGUGUCCUGGAAUGCAAUGGUUGAGGUUUGUAAUCGUCAUGGAAGGUCGGAUGAGGUUCUAGAAACUUUUGCUGCUAUGCAUUCUGCUGGGAUGAAGCCUGAUAAGGUGACAUGGCUGAGCAUAUUGCGUGCUUGUACAUCGAAGGGAGAUACGGGCUUAAGCCAAGGGGUUCACGCAUACAUGGAAAAGACUAAUUGUUGUCGACAUGUUGCAGUUUGCACAUCUCUAAUGGAUAUGUAUUCAAAAACAGGAAAUGCACAGAGCGCGCUCCAGAUAUUUCAUUGUCUCAAAGGAAAGGAUUUGAUGGCGUGGACAAGCAUGAUCAGCAGUUUGGCGAAGCAUGGCCAAGGCAGAGAUGCAGUGCAGCUCUUCAAGCAGAUGGAGUAUGGUGGCGUUGUUCCAGACCAUGUUGCAUUUGUAGGCGUGCUUAGUGCUUGCAGUCAUGCAGGGAUGGUGGAUGAAGGCAGGAAAUAUUCUGACUCCAUGCUGAAUCUUUACGGCAUCAGACCAACGGUAAAACAUUAUGGAUGUAUGAUUGAUCUCUUGAGCCGUGCAGGUCACUUAGGAGAGGUUGAGAGGAUGAUGCAACUGAUGCCUAUUCAGCACAGUGUUAGAAUGUGGGGAAGUAUGAUGAACGGUUGCAAGAUACAUGGUAGGGCCGAUGUAGCUGAGAGGAUAGGAAGGGGGUUUGCUGAACUUAACCCUCAGUUAAGUGCAACCUAUGUGGUCAUGUCCAACAUAUAUGCAGAGGUUGGUAGGUGGCAUGCGGUCGAGCAAACUGGGAGGUUGAUGUGGCAGAUGGGAUUGAAGAAAAAUAUAGGCUCAAGUGGCACUGAAGUGCGCAUGUUGUGCUCCUGA